CAUGCAGUCGAACGAUGAACCUGGGGCUUGCUCUGGGGGAUUAGUGGCGAACGGGUGAGUAACACGUGAGCAACCUGCCCCUGACUCUGGGAUAAGCGCUGGAAACGGCGUCUAAUACUGGAUACGAACAAGAAUCGCAUGGUUACUUGUUGGAAAGAUUUUUUGGUUGGGGAUGGGCUCGCGGCCUAUCAGCUUGUUGGUGAGGUAAUGGCUCACCAAGGCGUCGACGGGUAGCCGGCCUGAGAGGGUGACCGGCCACACUGGGACUGAGACACGGCCCAGACUCCUACGGGAGGCAGCAGUGGGGAAUAUUGCACAAUGGGCGGAAGCCUGAUGCAGCAACGCCGCGUGAGGGAUGACGGCCUUCGGGUUGUAAACCUCUUUUAGCAGGGAAGAAGCGUAAGUGACGGUACCUGCAGAAAAAGCACCGGCUAACUACGUGCCAGCAGCCGCGGUAAUACGUAGGGUGCAAGCGUUAUCCGGAAUUAUUGGGCGUAAAGAGCUCGUAGGCGGUUUGUCGCGUCUGCUGUGAAAUCUGGAGGCUCAACCUCCAGCCUGCAGUGGGUACGGGCAGACUAGAGUGCGGUAGGGGAGAUUGGAAUUCCUGGUGUAGCGGUGGAAUGCGCAGAUAUCAGGAGGAACACCGAUGGCGAAGGCAGAUCUCUGGGCCGUUACUGACGCUGAGGAGCGAAAGGGUGGGGAGCAAACAGGCUUAGAUACCCUGGUAGUCCACCCCGUAAACGUUGGGAACUAGUUGUGGGGUCCAUUCCACGGAUUCCGUGACGCAGCUAACGCAUUAAGUUCCCCGCCUGGGGAGUACGGCCGCAAGGCUAAAACUCAAAGGAAUUGACGGGGACCCGCACAAGCGGCGGAGCAUGCGGAUUAAUUCGAUGCAACGCGAAGAACCC
RNAcentral lists this ribosomal RNA (908 nucleotides) under Microbacterium foliorum. RNAcentral's name for it is "bacterial SSU rRNA". It matches the Rfam family "Bacterial small subunit ribosomal RNA", at positions 54 to 971 of the family's 1533-position model. The record is from RNAcentral. Lineage: Bacteria; Bacillati; Actinomycetota; Actinomycetes; Micrococcales; Microbacteriaceae.